RNAcentral lists this ribosomal RNA (401 nucleotides) under uncultured Mycobacterium sp. Its description in RNAcentral is "bacterial SSU rRNA". It matches the Rfam family "Bacterial small subunit ribosomal RNA", at positions 975 to 1375 of the family's 1533-position model. The record is from RNAcentral. Lineage: Bacteria; Bacillati; Actinomycetota; Actinomycetes; Mycobacteriales; Mycobacteriaceae.
CUGGGUUUGACAUGCACAGGACGCCGGCAGAGAUGUCGGUUCCCUUGUGGCCUGUGUGCAGGUGGUGCAUGGCUGUCGUCAGCUCGUGUCGUGAGAUGUUGGGUUAAGUCCCGCAACGAGCGCAACCCUUGUCCUAUGUUGCCAGCGGGUUAUGCCGGGGACUCGUAGGAGACUGCCGGGGUCAACUCGGAGGAAGGUGGGGAUGACGUCAAGUCAUCAUGCCCCUUAUGUCCAGGGCUUCACACAUGCUACAAUGGCCGGUACAAAGGGCUGCGAUGCCGUGAGGUGGAGCGAAUCCUUUCAAAGCCGGUCUCAGUUCGGAUCGGGGUCUGCAACUCGACCCCGUGAAGUCGGAGUCGCUAGUAAUCGCAGAUCAGCAACGCUGCGGUGAAUACGUUCCC